GUGUGGGACGGUGGAGGAAUCGCGGGCAGCGGCUGGGAGGACGGGGCGGGCAACCUGCCCGGGCUGCCCGAGAUGGGGGGCGUGCGCUCUAUAAGUUCCGGUGCUGUGUAGCUGAACGUAGUUUGCCGCUUUAGCUCUUUGAGUCUAUCUUCGAAGAUCUGAAGGAAAUCAAGGACAGAAAAAUGGCAUCCAACUUCGUGAGCAAGGAAGACCACCACGAUUACCACCAGCACUACCAGGCACCAUCGCCGCCGGGAGUUCGGAGGACUUGGUCCUCCAACUCAUCCGCCUGCGGCCAGGGGGCCGUCCCGAAGUGCGUGUGCGCUCCGACAACCCACGCGGGUUCCUUCAAGUGCCGUCUCCACAGGACGAGUUCCCACAGCCACACCCCCGCCUCCCCCACCUCUAUCCCUCCGCCGCCGCGCGUGAACACCUCCCGCGCCCCCACCGUGGAGGCCCAGUGACUACAAGAAAGCUUCAGAAGUAGGGAUAUGUUUGGUGAUUCCCGAUGGUUAUGGAGAUAAUUAUGGCGUCUAGAGGAUGGAGGAGAGAGCGAGAGACGGGUGUUACCAGUGUUGUAAUUAGUCCUUUCCCGUAAUAGCUAGUUCUGUUUUCCGUGUGUGAGAGAUGAUACCUCAUGUAGUAGUUUCAUUUGGAGAUCUUGUUGUUGUUGAAGCUGUUCUUGUAGAUAUUAUCCGCUUCCAAGCACCAAAGAAAACAAAAACGAGUGUUGCUAUCUGUAAUGUUCUAAUCCGAUCAAGUCGUGGAUAAACAUCAGUGUUUGAGAAAGGACAGAUACAACAAUCAACAGGUGGCAGACUCAGUGGGGGUAUGCGAUCAACCAUUGUGAGUUCUUGGGCAUCAAGCAGCAGGAUGCAAGAUGAUUGCCCCCAGUGUGUUCCAUGAAUUGCGCGUCCUCUGGUAAGAGGUUAUUUCUUUGUUCCCAGGUGUGUGUGUGUGGAUGUAGUUUCUUGUAGUUUUACUGUGAGUCCUCGAAAUCUAUGGCAAAAGAAGUCUUGGCCUGCCGAAA
Molecule: long non-coding RNA, 1030 nt
Organism: Musa acuminata AAA Group (dessert banana)
Lineage: Eukaryota; Viridiplantae; Streptophyta; Magnoliopsida; Zingiberales; Musaceae
Exons: 3
Source: RefSeq, a predicted model, not a curated record